UUGAAAGAAUGUACCGUAGACAGUAGGGGCUAAGGCUUAAUCAUCCUACCGAGGACUUAUAUAAAAAGUUUUCGGCUCCCACUAGGUAUUAGAGGGAGCUUUUUAUUCG
This 109-nucleotide small RNA is filed under the name human gut metagenome. RNAcentral's name for it is "Ribosomal protein L10 leader". It matches the Rfam family "Ribosomal protein L10 leader". Rfam says of the family: This family is a putative r-protein leader autoregulatory structure found in B. subtilis and other low-GC Gram-positive bacteria. The record is from RNAcentral.